CAACUUGGGUUAGAGAGAGAAACUAGAGAGAGAAAGUGUAGAUUUGAGGUAAGCAAGUUGUUUAAUUUUGUAAUUUUCGUUUAUUUUGGUUCCUAAUGGUAUGUUGAAUAGAAUUAACGGUAAAAAUUGUGUAAAAGUUGAGUAUAAUUAGCUAUAAACCUGUUUUAGUUAAAAAUCACAAUUAAUUAAAGAUUAAAGUAUUUUAAGUUAAGUAUUUUAUUAACGGUAAGAUCAGCAUAAAUCUUUGUUUAAUUUGGUUUGAUUGAAAAAUAGAUUAGUAAACAUGUGAUGAAUUGGGUUAUUUGGACACUUGGGAUUUGUUAAUAGGUUAGGCUUUAAGAAAAUCAAAAGAAUUAGUGUUUGGUAAUUAAUUAGGGAAAUUAAUAUGCAUUGCAAAUAUUGUUUAAUUCAAUUCAAAUUUGAUCUGAAAACAUGUAGGAUAUAGAUUAGAGAAUGUGAGAAUUAAAAAUUUGCAACAAUAAACUAUAUAAAUUUUCAUUGUUAGGAAACCUAAAUUAUGUUGUUUCAUUUCAGUUCCUCGUAAUAGGCAAAGAUCGUCUACUUAGAAGAAACACAAAAAGGAAGUUGGUGUAAGGUAGGGAAUUUUAUGCCAUUCUAUGGUGUAUCUGAUUUCUUUCCUUGAAUUAUUUGUUGGAAUUUUAUGUUGUUUCUAUGAUUUCAUAAAAUCUUUUAAAGUGUCAUUGCAUCUCAGUUUAUUGCAUUGAAAUGUUACCAUGAUGCCAAAACGUAUAUUGGUAUGAAGAUUCGUGGUUUUGUGUUGUCGAAAUGGUUUAUGGUGUGAUUGCAUUGCAAGAAGGAUAUGGAAUUAUCAUAGAUCAUAUUCAGAGAAUUUAUUGGUGGCGAAGUGCUUAUGUGAUGCUACAGGCCUUAUCAUUUGUUAUAUUGUUUAUGUGGGACCGUGGGUCCUUGGGUGAAAGUCCCUAAAGCCCUCGAGGAAGACACUCCGAUGUGGGUGUAUGGGGUUGGUCCUGCCCUUGGGUAUGAGUCCCAAAAGACACAGGGUAUGACUUGCCCUUGGGUGAUGUCCCAGAAUAGUCAUUAUUAUAUUGAUAGAGUAUCUUGUGGAGCAUUGAUAUCUGCUGUGUAGAUUGUUGGGAGUCAGCAAAUUAUCAGUUGUGAAAGGAUGGAUGGGGAAAAGAAAUGAUGAAACCAACAAACACAUGCAUACAUGUUUGACAUGAUUACACAUUUGUUAAUGGUUAUGAAAUGUUUAUCAUGCAUGUUAUUAAACGUUUAAUUCAAGGUUUUUAAAGGUAUACUUAGGAUGGUUAUAAACUUUCCUACUGAGUUGUGAACUCACCCUAUUCCUUCCACCUAUAGAUGCAGGGCAGAAGACCUAUGCAGGAAAGAAUGCUUGAGCAAUGCUUUACUGUGAUUGGAUGCUGUUUGCUCAUAUUGAAAGUCUUUUGAGGCCAUGCCUUUUGUAUCAAGACUACACCUUUUGUUGGAAUGAUGUAAUGUAUAUAUUUGUUAGAUACACUUGUAGUAUGGGCUACCCAUAGUAAACAAUGGGGUUUGGUAUAUGUAAAUUAAUGUUGUACAAGUUUCUUUUGUGAAACAAAACAUAUUUUGUUAACUCAAUAGUCACAAUGUUUAUUACAGGAUGUACUCUUUAUAACAGGUUUUCCAUAUCCUCUUUUUGAACAAAUUCAAGUAGGAACUCAACAUUUAAAUUUUUGAGAGCACUUUUACUGUAUUUGAGUAUCAAUUCUUUAGUUGAAGAAUAAAUAAUAAUAAUCAUAAGAAAAAAAAAAUUGGGGUGUGACAAAUCCAAAGUGUCCAAAUAACCUAAUUAAUCACUUGUUUACAAAUCUAUUUUUCAAUCAAACCAAAUUAAACGAAGAUUUAUGCUUAUCUUACCAUUAAUAAAAUACAUAAGUUAAAACACUUUAAUCCUUAAUUAAUUGUGAUUUUUAACUUAAACAUGUUAAUAGCUAAUUCCACUCAACUUUUACACAAAUUUUACCGUUAAUUCUUUUUAGCAUACCAUUAGGAACCAAAAUAAACGAAAAUUACAAAAUUAAACAACUUGCUUACCUCAAAUCUACAUUUUCUCUCUCUAACCCAAGUUGAUGCAGGUGAAAUGGUGGAAAACGAGCUGCAACUCCCUAUAAAGGGGUCUCCAUGCAGCCAAGCACGAGGUGGCAGCCCACAUGGCUGCCACCAAUCCACCCAAGUAGGAGGUGGCAUUCCACUAACUCCAAUUUCCCAAUUUUGCACUUUAGUCCUUCAAGUUAUCAAAAAUAAAACCAAUAAUUGCUCAUUAGUCCUUUAGGUUUUCAAAACCCUAAUCAGCCCCUAAGAAUCUAAUAAACAUGCUUAAGUCAUUAGCUAAUCCCACUUAACCUUAUUCAAAGUUUAAUUCAUAAUUAAACAAGAUUAGCACUAAACUAGUUUUAACAAUUAAUUAAGCAUGCUUAAAGUUAAGUAAUGAGACAAUCAUUAUUGCCUAUUUAAUUCAUUAGUACUAGGUGUCACAACAAUCAAAAGAAUAGACAAAUUAGCUUAGAUAGAAGAACCUAGGAUGGCAUCUCAAUGAUGUGAAACUAAACAAACUAAGUAAGAAAAUGAAUAGAACUAUGAAUGGCGUUCCAAUGAUGAGGAAUCUCGGGAACAAAUGAUUAUGUUUAGAUAGAAGCUAGGAUGACAUCCUGAUUAUGGGGUGAAGGACGAAGGAUACCCUAAACCAACUUUAGGAAGUGGGAUGCCCUAAACGAUGCCUUAAUAAACUUAAUAAAGGGAAUUCUCUAAACAAAGUCAAGGAAGGGGGAUGCUCUAAGCAAAUUCGAGUAAGCGGGAUGCCCAAUCCCAACAAAAGCGGUUGUGCUUAAAAACCUCAAGAAAUGGAGUUGCGCUAAACAAACUUUUGGAUGGGGAUGGCCUACUACACUAAAUGAAGUGGGACUUUUCUAAGUAAGCCCUAGGAAAGGGUAUGCCCUAACAGAAUUGAAGGAAGUUCGUUGGUCUAAACAAACUCUAGGAACAUGAAUGAAUUAAAAAUCUCCAUGAAGAUGGAUGACCUAAGAAACUGAAGGAAGGGUGAUGGACUAAAGUAAAUCAAGGUAGUUUGAUAGCCCAAUGAAUAGGAACGUCCUAAAAAAUAGAGGAAUGGGAAUACCCUAAUAGCACCCGAGGAAAGAGGAUGCCCUAAAUAAACUCAAUGAAGGGGAAUACCCUAAACAAACUUAAAGAAGGGGAUGCCUGAAAACAAUUCAAGGAAGGAGGAUGCCCUAAACAUACUCAAGGAAUAGGGCAUACCCUAAAACAAACUCAAGAAAGGGGAGAUGUGCUAAACAUACUAAAGGAUGUGGGCAUAACCUAAACAAAUGCAAGGACUAGGAAUUCUAUAAAGAAACUAUGAGAUGGGGAGGAGGAGAUGCCUCAAUAACAUUGAAGAAAGGGGUAUGAUCUAAACAUAGAUAAGGAAGGUGGAUGUCAUAAAUUAACUGAAUGAAGGGGGGACGUCUUAAACAAAAUAAUGGGAAAAAGAUGCCUUAAUAAGACUGGAUGAAAUCACAUUCCCUAAAUGAACUCAAGGAAGGUCCAUCCAUUAAAGAAACACAAAAGAUGAGGUUGCCCUAAAUAAACUCAACGAUGGAGGAUGCCCUGAACAAACUCAAAAAAAGGCGUUCACAUUAGGAAAUUCAUGGAAGGGGAAUGCGCUAAUAAGACUCAAGGAUGGGGGUUCCCUUAAACAUAGUCUUAUGAGGGGGAUGCCAUAAGUAACUCUAAGAAUCAGGUUGCCCUAAACAAACUCUAGGAAGGGGAAUGCACUAAAAAAAUUCUCAAGGAAGAGGGCACAAACACUAAACAAACUCAAGGAAUAGAUAUUCUAUAAAGAAACUAAGGAAUAGUGGGACGUCUUAAGAAGACUCAAGGAAGGGGGAUGUCCUAAAAAGAGAUAUGGAGGGAGAAUGUUGUAAACAAACUCAAAGAAGGGGAUGUGCUAACAAGACUGAAUGAAGGGGGAUGCCCUAAAGAAACUCAAAGAAGGGGGAUUCUCUAAACUAAAUUUGGGAAGGGGAUGUCAUUAACAAACUCAAGGAAGGGAGAUGCUCUAAACAAACUCUUGGAAAGGGAAUGAAUUACAAAAUCUCCAUGAAAAAGAAUGACCUAAGAAACUAAAGCAAGGGUGACGCCCUAAUGUAACUCAAGGGAGUGGGAUGGCCUAAGGAAACUCAAGGAACAUGGAUGUUUAAAACAAACUAAAGGAAGGGGGAUGCCCUAUUAAAACUCGAGGAAAGUGGACGCCGUAAACAAACUCUAAGAAGGGAAAUGCCCUAGACAAACUCAACAAAGGGAGAUGUGCCAAAAAAAAUACUCAAGAAAGCGGGAGGGGCUUAACAAACUCCAAGAGGCAGAUGCGCUAUGAAUCUUAAGGAAGUGGGAGUGCACUAAAUCAACUCUUGGAAGGGGGGUGCCAUAAACUCAAGCAAGGGGGAUCUUUUACACAAACUCCAAAAAGGGGAACGAAUUCAACAAUCUUCAUGAAAAGGGACUAAGAAACUAAAGGAAGGUAUAGCCCUAAAGUAACUCAAGGGAAAGGGGUGCCCUAAGAAACUCAAGGAAUGGGGAUGCCCUAAACAAACUAAUGGAAUGGGGAUUCCUUAAUAACAAUUUAGGAAGGGAGAUGCCCUAGUAACACUUAAUGAAGGGGGAUUCCCUAAACAUACUCAAGGAUGGGCAAUGCCUUAAACAAACUAAAGUAAGACAGAUCCCAUAAACAAAGUCAAGGAAGGGAUCUACCACACACAAACUCAAGGAUGGGGGAUGCCAUAAACUAAGUGAAGGAAGGGGAAUGCCAUUAUAAGACUUAAGUAUGGGAGAUGCCCUAAACAAAGUCACUGAAGGAAUAUAUCCUAAACAAACCGGAGAAAGGAAGAUGUCCUAAACAAUCUCCCUGAAGAGGGUUGACCUAAGAAACUCAAGAAAGGGAGAUGCCCUAAUGUAACUCAAGGAAUGGGGAUGCCCUAAACAAACUAAAGGAAGAGGAAUGCCCUAAACAAAUUCAUGGAAUGACAAGAGGAACCACCGAUUCACAAAUCUCAUUAACCACAGAAUUUAGUGAGCGGCGCCAAAUCUUUCUAAAUGCCACUCGAACCCAGAGCUAGAUGGUUCUCCUCGAAAUGCGUUGCCCUAAACAAAUUCAUGGAAUGACAAGACUUUAAACAAACUAAAGGAAAGGGGUGUCCAACAGAAAAUCAUGGAAGGAGGGGAUUCUCCACAGGAAUUAAAGGAAAGGAUGCCUUAAUGAAACUCUAUGCCAUAAACAAAUUCAAGGACACGAGAUGUCAUUAAAAAAACUCUAGGAAGGUGGAUGCAAUAUAAAACUUAAGGAAGUGGGAGUGCACUGAAUAAACACUUAGUAGAUGAUGCCUUAAACAAAUUCAACUAAGGCGAAUGCUCUACACAAACUCUAGGAAGGGGAAUGAACUAAACAAUCUCCAUGAAGAGGAAUGACCUAAGAAUGUGAAGGAAGGGUGAUGCACUAAGGAAACUAAAGGAACCCCAUGGCCCAGGCAAACUAAAGGAAGGGGGGUGUCAUGAUAACACUCGGGGAAAAUGGAUGCCCCAAACAAAUUCAAAGAAAUGGAAUGCCCUAAAAAAACUCAAGGAAGGGAGAUGCUAAAAAAAAACCCUAAAAGAAAAGGGGAUGUCCUAAACAAAGUCAAGGAAGGGAGAUUACCUAAUAAUAAUCAAGGAAAUGGGAUGACCUAAACAAACUAAGGUAGGGGGAUGCAUUAAAGAAACUCUAGGAAAGGGGAUGUCAUAAACAAAAAGGAAAUAAGGAUGCAUUGAAAAAAAACAAAAAACUCCAUGAAGAGGGAUGACCUAAGAAAAUGAAGGAAGGGUGAUUCCCUAAUUUAACUCAAGGGAAUAGGAAAACUUAAGGAAACUCUAGGAAAGGAGAUGCCUUAAACAAAUUAAAGGAAGGUGGAUGCCCUAAUAAAGGGAAAUGACCUAAAUAAACUAAAAGAAAGGGUGAUGCUAAACAAACUUAAUGAAGGGGAAUGAGUUAAAAAAGCUAAUGGAAAGAGGGAUGUCCUAAACAAACUAAGGGGGAUGCCCUAAACAAUGUUAAGGAUUGGGGAUACUCUAAUCAAGCUGAAAGAAAGAAGGUGCCAUAAACAAAGUCUAGGAAGGGGUUACUAUGGACUUGCAUUUCUCACUUGCGUCCCCACUCGACAAUGAGACUCAUUUUUUAAUUGUGAAAAUUUGAUAUUUUAUUAAAAUUUGGAGUUCUCAUGCCACUUAUUUUAUUUUAUUUUUUAUAGGGAAAAUAAUAUAAGAAACUAAAAGCAUAAGAAAAAUGACACCUUAAACUUUGGAAAAACAUGUCUUUGAAAUAAUAAACCCGAGUCUAGGUCCAAGGAUCAGGUUAUCUAUCAGGAAGGUACCUUAAGAUAAUGGUACUCCAAACCCUUAAAAAGAUCUCUACAAACUAAAUAGAGGGAAGUAUGACAAUUAAGUGAUUAAUAGAGGGAAUCAAGGAAGACUUAUUGUGAUUACUCAAAUUCCAAUAACAUAUUAAGCAUGCUAAACAAAUAAUUCAAGUCAGACCAUAAAGGUAGAGUAAGAUGCGUACCUGGACUGCAAUUUAAAGCGCUAUUACAAGAUACUGAAGUUAGUUCAAACAACAAAAUAAGCAUGCAUCUCAUCAGCAAAAAUCAAGGCACUCUGCGCCAAUAUCAAACAUGGUAUGAUUCACACAAAACAUUUCAUAUGUAACUAAAAAGAAGUGAAUGGUGGAGAGUGUACCUGAAGAGCAUAUCUUUAACGCAAUGCACUUUCAAUACAAAUGGAGAAGCUAGGAUAAAAAAUGAUGACAAGCAAUUACGAGAGCAUAAUAUCUGCAUGGCAUGAACUUACAAAGACAUCAACUAUACAAGUUAUAUAACCAACUAAAUAAAUCAACUUUGGGAAAAGCUUUUUCGAUGCAAAUAACAUUCUAGAAUCAAUUUCAAGAAGUGAGUAACAUCACACAAUUAUGGAAAAAAAAAUUUAGUACACUCCAAAAAUAAUUAAAACAAAAUUUAAAACUAAAAGGUCAUUGGCUAAGCUGAAACUGGUAGCAAGGAUAAAUUUUAAAAUAUCUUUUAUGUAGGGUUCACUCAAAUCUUCAUUCAAAAUUCCAUAACCCAUACAUCCUCAACCUCAAGUGAAAAAAAUUACCAAGGCCAAGGACAUUCCCAUUAGUUUGGAGGCACAAGUUCAAACUUAUGCGAAUAAAAACAAAGUUUUUGGAAAACCAAAAAGAGAAUGCAACAUGUAUGAAAUGAGUUGCAUGUUUUUAAAAGAAAGUGAGAUAUUUGCCCUAAACCUAAAACGAAUUUUCUUUUAAAGUCCUUAAAUGAUUCAAAUCCUUUUGAAAAUAAUUUAAAUUAUUUUUAAAAAAAAUUGAUUUUAGGAGGAGCAAAAAAAGAAGAAAAUUAAGAAAUUCCAAACAAAAGACCUAAAAGUUGGGAUUUUUUAUUCAUAACUUUAAACAAUUUGAAAAGAAAGGAAAAAUCAACUUAGACAUUCUUUUUUGGCUACCUUUUCAUUACUGGUGGAGAAAAGAUCUUUUUUUGUAAAAGAAAUUUUGACUCAAAAAUCAAUUAAGUUUUUUCUAAAGAAUAACAAGCUCUCAAAGGUAAAUAAUCAAAUAUCAUGAAUUUUUAACUAAGUUAGCAUUUAAAGAACUUUAGAAAAUAACUUAAGAUGAAUUUUUCACUAAACUUGCAUUCAAGAAACUUUAAAAAAGAAUCUAACAUGAAUUUUUAACCAAACUAGCAUACAAAGAACUUUAAAAAACUAAUACAGAAAUUCAAACUCCAUUAUUAUCUUUCAAAUUUAUCUAGAAAUUCAAACUCCAAAACUUAUAUACUGCCUAAGGGAAAAUCUAACAAGUUCAUCACCAUCAUGAAAGGGAGAUAGAGAUUACUUGUCUUAAGGGACAGAACAAGAGAAAUGCCAAUCUCACAUAAGUACCAAAUAGGUUGUUAAAAACAACAUUGAUUAAACCAAUUGCUCUAACAACAAAAGCAUAAGUUGAUUUACAUAUUAAGGUAGAGAAGAAAAAACACACACUUCUUGUCAUUGUCGUAGCUCUGAACUUAUUAAAACCCACAUUCCACACUACCACUGUGAUUUAGUGCUUCCUUUUUUCCUCUUCUUUUGUUACUAGCCGAUUUAAAUAUUAAUUAAAGCAUGCAGUUUACAUAAAGGAAAUGCUAGUGGGACCCUUGUUCGCCUUUUCUAUUCCUUAUAGAGUAAGACACUAAGCUAUAGUUGGAAAUUGACCUAAAUCACCAAUAACAAACAUGGGUUUCAAGUCAACAAACCAAAGCAAACUUAAAGCAAAAUAAAGAUGCAACCACAUUUUAAGACUUCCAACACCCUUAUUCAACCCAACCACAUAGUGUAACUCACUAUUGUGUGAAUCACUGCAACUAUGAACAAAAAAAAUAUAAACACAUCAUUUCUUUCUUGUUGCAUAGGGUAUAGAACAAUGAUUGCGUAGGGGUGAAAAAUUGUUGAAAGUGACACAAAUCUACCAUCAAAGACAAAGCAAUUCUACAACACAAACUGCUUAAAAUACAAUGGCAUAAGCGAAGAGUCUUUUUACCAUAUCAAUGAUUCAAUAAGACAACUUUCAAUGAUUUCUUAACCACAAACUGCCACAUACAUGAUUUUCAUAACUCAAACCUAGGUACAAAGUCAAGUACAAGAAAUCAAGCCAAUCUAUGAGGAAAAAAAAAAAGGAAAAAUAAAUAAAUAAAUAAAAGAAAAUUUCGAACAACCCAAAUGCAUUAUCUAGUAAGAUAAGAAUGCAAUUGAGCGAAGUAACAUAAAAGAGGAAAAAUAAGAGAAAAAAGAACAUUAUGAAAAGAGGAUGACUCCUAGAACAUUUAACCCACAAACCUAUCAUUGGUCUAGUUGCGAUUGACAGGGCUUGAACCCACAGCUUCCGCCUUGCAAAGGCAUUGCACUGACCAUUUGAACUACAAUCUCACAUAAAUAAGGUCACAACUGUCAAUAUAGGUAACCAAACAAGUUGUACAAAUAACACUUAACAACUCAAUCUUUAUAAUAACUCAAUCUUAAUUUCAUUAUAUUGAAUGACAUACAAUUCUUUUGUAGAAGUACUUAUAAAUCAAGUAUCUUCAAAUCAAACCAAAUAUGCUCAUAUCCAUGCGCUAGGAAAAAAUGAUUCAUAUUAAGGCAAAAAAGUAAAAAAGAAAUAUCAGUUACUAUUAGAUGUCAACCCCACAUCCCACAUCAUAUUAUUUCAUGCAGAAACCAAAAGAAUGAUCCAUAAUUAAUCCAAAUUCAUGAAAACAUAACUUGACAUGGAACAAAUAGUCUCUAUUAAAAAAAUCUAGGAAUAUAAGUAAAUCUCAAGGCUAUGCCCCACACUAUAAUGACAACAAUUACAAAUUGAAGGGAUUUGCACUAUUACAAAUUUAAGUGGUUUCCAUAAUGCAUCUAGCUUAUACUACUUAAGAAAUAGCAAAAACCAAAAGAAUUAUUAGCCCAAAACCAUAAUGAAUUCAUAAUCACGAAAAUGUUAUUGUAACACCGAAGCAUUUUCUUUUAAGGGUAAUUUAGGAAAUUGUUAUUAAUAAUUAAAUUAGUUAAUUAAUUAAUUUAAUAAAAAAAAGAGGGGUAAAAGAGUAAUUUUACGAUUAAUACCCUAGGUAUAAAAAAAAAAUUCUCUUCUUCUUGUUCUUUUUUGAAUCGUAUUCCUAUUCGCAGAAAGUUUCCAGAGAACGUGAAGUUGAGGUCAGAUUUGAAGGUUUGAAGAACAAACCUCUAUAGGUAAGUUUCUAACCCCUAGAUUAUUAUUUUAGAUUCAUUAGUUAAUUUCAAAUACAUUAGAUAUUUUUUGGAAAACCCUAAAUCUAGAUUAGGGUUAGAUUAUUUUUUUUUUUAAUUCGUUUUAAUAUCAAAUAGUGAAAAUUUAAGAUUUUGAUUUAUUAUUGGAAUUGGGGAGAUUUUAACUUUUUUUUAUUAGAAAAAAAAAAUUCCUGUGAGGAUUUCGAUUUAGAUUAGGGUUAGUUUAUUAUUAUUAUUAUUAUUAUUAUUUCGUUUUAAUAUCAAAAUAGUGAAAAUUUAAGAUUUUGAUUUAUUAUUGGAAAUUGGAAAUUCUUAAGCUUUAAAAAAAAAAAAAAGAGAACGCGUGUGCAUAGCCCUAGAAGGAAGGAAAAAAAAAAAAAAGAAAGAAAGAAAAGGGCGUGUGCCAAAUGGAAGGAGCCUUUAUAUAUAUAUAUAAUGAAUCAUGAUGAUGGCAAUGAAAAAAAAAAAAAAAAACUUGCUUUUUGGUUUGGUUUGGUGUACCCGAGACAGGUUGAGUGGCUUUGGAAUUGGUUAAUUAAAGUAAUAAUAUUUAGUUUUAGAUUUAUAAUUAAGAUAAUAGUAAUAAUAGUUUUUUUUUUUUUGUAAUAAAUAGAAUGAGAGAUUUAGCAAAAUAUAUAUAUAUAGAAUUUUAUAAUGAAAUAAAGUUAUAAUUUAAUUAAAUUAGUAAUGUGUUAUUAGAAAUAAAUUGGGAAUUUAUUAGUUUAUUUAAAUAAGGAACAGAUUAGUUAAAUUAUAAAUAAAUAGUAAUAAUUGUUCCUCUUAUGUUUUGUUAGGUGAAGAGUAGAUUUUCAGGAUUAUUUUUCUUCAAAGUUUUUGGAGGAUUUCUUUUGAGGUAAGGGAAGUUAAUGCAAUAUUUAUAAAAUUUAAAUUAUUUUAUAUGUUAUUUUGAAUUGUGGAAAAGAAAAUGAUAUUUUGUUACCAUGCAUGGAUCAAAUUGUUUUGCACUAAAUGUUAUGUUGGAAUAUUUUGUUUUAUUUAUGACACAAAAUAUGGAGAUAUUAUGUUGUGUAAAUUUGAAUACUUGAACAAAAAAACAUCACUUUGGUUUAUUUGGCCCUUGUCAACGGGAUAUAAUAGUUGACUAUUCGGCCCUGUCAACGGGAUAUAAUAGUUGACCUUUACAUUUCAUGGUGGGAAUGUAAUUGAUUUGGAUCCCAGCCUCUAGGGGUUUGGUUAGAGGUUACUAGUACUUGUAGUGUUUGGUUCCGUCCACCAGGAACAAUUUGAGGCUAGCCACCCAUUUGAAAAGUCCCACCUAACUGGGCAUUUGAUAUUUGAUAACCAGAGUAAUGAAAAAAAAAAUGAAAAAUUGAAUGGAUUUGAUUGAAUCUUAUGUGAAAGUGUUUGAAUUUGAUAUGAAAUUGGUUAGUUGAAUUUUGAAUAUAUUGGUAUUUUUGAAACUCUGAUAUUUGAUGAGAAAAAAAAUGAUAUCUCCUAUUUGAAAUGAAAAUAUUUGAUCCAUGAACUGCAUUAAUAUUCCUUAUUGGGCUGUGAGCUCAUUCCCAAUUGUUGAAAAUUUUUCAGGUACUCUUAGUUCGGGUGAGGAGUGAUGGCUAGGCUGAGGAAUGGUCAUCAUUAGGAUUUGACUUAGGAUUUUAUGUUGGAUUUUGUUUAACUGUUAGUUAUGUUCAUUUGGAUCAUUUGAUAUUUGGAAGUUAUUUGGAAAUUGAAUUUUGAGGAUUUUAGAUUUUGUUUCGCUACUCUAAACAGGUAUUUGGUAACAUCCAGUUACAAUAUGAUUGUUUGGGUCAGAUUAUACUUUAAGCCUUCGGGUUUGAGGUGUGAAAUGACCGUCACGCCCUUGGAGUGGGUCUUGGGGCAUGAUAGUUAUCAUGACUUGGCAUGGAACAAAUAGUCCCUAUUCAAAACCUAAUAAUAUAAGUAAAUUUCAAGGCUAUGGCCCACACCAUAAUGACAACAAUUACAAAUUGAAAGGAUUUGCACUAUUACAAAUCGAAGUGAUAUCCAUAGUGCAUCCAGCUUAUACUACUUAAUAAAAAAUUGCAUAAACCAAAAGAAUUAUCAGCCCAAAACCAUAAUGAAUUAAAAUCAUCAAAAUGUUUCCAUGACUUGGCAUGAAACAAAUAGUCCCUAUGUAUAUAUAGUGUCAGAAGCCUCUUCCCCAAAUUGAUAUAGGAUAUCACAACAUCUCUCCAGCUUGGUUUUCCAAUUUAGUUAAUGGAACUAAAAAUAUUGGUGGUUACAGAAUUUACCAAUGGCUAAAUCUUCUGUUGAGAUUAUUUUCCUCCACUUGCCUCUUACCAUAAUUAAAUGACAAAUUCCUUUAAUGUUGACGCAUCUUGAAGGUCUAGUGAACAUUCUUGCUUGUAGAGUAACAUGAAAGAGGACUGUAGUUUGAGGUUCUAGAAUCAUGGGAUGGUGGCCAUGGAUUUCUUAAUAAGUAAAAAAAUCACCACAGGGAUCUCUAUAGGCUAAUUGCUUAGUGUGUGGCAUUUUGAAGGACAUACUGAGAUAGGUGAUGACAACUUCCAAGGGUUCAUGGGAUUAUGAAAAGUGGAUGUUAAAAGGAUGUAGCUCCAAAUUCAUGAAGUACAUUUGUUUUUCUGGCUUAUCAUUUUAACCAACAAAAUUAGCUCUCUUGUGCCAUGAACUUAAGAUGACUAAUUGGAAGGUGGUUUUUUAUUGUCUAAUUUAUAAAAUUAGUGAGAUUUAUCAUUCAAAUGAGGGCAUGAUCUCAACCUCCAUUACAAUAUAUGGAAUGAUUUAUCAUUCAAAUGAAAAAAUAUCGGGACACAUCAUAGGUGCUUGAGUACAUAUAAUUAAUUUUCUAAAAAAAAUGAAAAAUCUAAAGAAAUUAUAAUUCCUCAUGGAAACCAUUCUCAGGACCACUUCUUUGAAGGGAAAUACUGGCGACCUAUAAUCAAACACUUGAAUGUUGGCUAAGUCAAGCUGCCCCACAAACUAGUCUACAUGUCGUCUGCUAUCUGCUUGAGUAGCAACCAAGCCUUCACAUGAUCUCUCAUCAAACCUUGGUCCAUCAGCUUGCAUGCUGAAUAGGCACUCGUGGGUGCAAAGCAUCAUCCAAUGCGGCCUUGGUACCACAUCAUCCAAGUCAAGAUGCUAACACACAACCCUAUCCCUACCCCCCAAUCCAAUCUAAAGGAAAUGGGAAAAAGAAGUAGCUAGCUACUCCCAUACACACCCCUCCUUUGCGCUUCCAGGAGCUCAAAUCAUAGACCAUUACUCCAAUUAAUUCGAUACUCCUUUCCAUAACCCUAUCCCUCCAACCCAAAGGAAGGGAGGAAAGCAGCAGCCACUGACUACUUCCAUACCCUAUUUAAUACAAAUCGUCCUGCAUAAAUUAAGCUCAGCCACAAAUUUUUUAUUGCCUAACAAGAGGAAUGUGUAGCCAUGGAAAUAGAAAAAGAAUUAUACACGUGUGUACACAUAUAAUACAUGGGUGCACACAAUAAAUGUAAUGCAUGUCAAGUGUAACUACAAAAUGGAAGAAGAAUAUAUUGAUGUGUUACCUAAACUUCUAUUGUGGCAUUUCAUAAAAGCAAGAUUUCCACCAGUGCAUUUCAUAAAAUGCAAAAUUUCCACUGUUGCAGUUCAUAGAAGCAAAAUUUUAAUUGUUGCAUUUCAUAAAAAAACACAUUACUUCUUCAAGUUGUUACCUGGAUCUGAGGGCCUUUUUCCUAGCAAGGGAUUUCUUGUCAUUAGGGGAUUUUUUGCUGUGACCAGCAGAGUUGGAUGGCAGAGAAUUGGUUGCAACAUUAAAAGAUUUUGUUUCCAUUGUCAACAUCUUCAAAGAUAUUUUCCGGAGGUAAUCAGACUGAAUUAGAAGUAAAAAUAAAAAUAUAUCAAUUCAUCAAAUUAUUAAUGACAAAGUAAGAUAAGAUAGUAUCAAGUUUUGCACUUUAAUCUUUUACACUAAGGAUAGAUACAAAAAAUGCUCAUAGGUCUUAAGGAAUGGUUGAGUAAAUACUAGCAUGAUGGAUAUACUUGGCUUGUGGCAGCAAAAUAAAUCUUUUCCUGAAACCUUUCAACAAUUUUCCUUAGCUCAUGCAGUCCCUCUGGUCCAGAAAUAGGAAGAUGUCUCUUCAAUCAUUGGUUCAAAAAAAAUAUAUUAAAUAGGAAAUCAUGUUAGUUAUGCACUGACCAUGUCACAUAAAUUUCCAACCAUAAAACAAUAUUGCAUGAAACAGGAAUUUAGAGUAAAUAGAAAAUUUUUAUUAAGGAAAGGAAAGGAAAGGAACUAACAUCCCAUAAUAAGAGGGGGUUUGAGGGUAAGACAACCAGAAAGCUUGUAUAUUUAUAGGAUUCCAUGCUUACAUCCCUUCUUUUGAACAAGUCAAACACAAAAGAUUGUCUCUUGCAAUUUACUGCACAUUCUAAUACCUUUUUUCUAGUUCCUAUUUUUUAAUGAUCAUAUUUGAACUUCCUCAUGUAUUGAUUUCUAAUGUAUCUAACAUGCUCACAAAAACUUAUUAUGUCUUGCCUAGCUUGAACUCCCAAAUACAAGAAUCAAUGAAAUUCAAUUAUAUUCCCCUAAACAAUUCAUGGAAUGCCAGCUUACAUUUCAAUUAGACCAAGGAUUACAACAAGUUCUUUGGUCACUAUACUUAUUUCUUGCCAAUAGGAGAAAUCGGUUUGGAGGUUAGAGGCCAAGAAUAUUUUUAGACCACCUAUGUAGACUAGCCUGUAACACCAAGUACUAAUGAAUUAAAUAGGCAAUAAUGAUUAUUUUAGUACUUAACUUUAAGCUUGCUUAGUUAGAUGUUAAAACUAGUUUAGUGCUAAUCAUGUUUAAUUAUGAAUUAAACUUUGAUUAAGGUUAAGUGGGAUUAGUUAAUGAUCUAAGCAUGCUUAUUAGGUUCUUAGGGACUGAUUAGGGUUAUGAAAACCUAAAGGACUAAUGGGCAAUUAUGGGUUUUAUUUUUGAUAACUUGAAGGACUAAAGUGCAAAAUUUGGAAAUUAAGGUUAGUGGAAUGCCACCUCCUACUUGGGUGGAUUGGUGGCAGCCAUGUGGGCUGCCACCUCAUGCUUGGGUGCUUGGAGACCCCUUUAUAAGGGGGCUGCAGCUCGUUUUGCUCCAUUUCACCUGCAGCAACUUGGGUUAGAGAGAGAAACUAGAGAGAGAAAGUGUAGAUUUGAGGUAAGCAAGUGUUUAAUUUUGUAAUUUUCGUUUAUUUUGGUUCCUAAUGGUAUGUUGAAUAGAAUUAACGGUAAAAAUUGUGUAAAAGUUGAGUAUAAUUAGCUAUAAACCUGUUUUAGUUAAAAAUCACAAUUAAUUAAAGAUUAAAGUANNNNNNNNNNNNNNNNNNNNNNNNNNNNNNNNNNNNNNNNNNNNNNNNNNNNNNNNNNNNNNNNNNNNNNNNNNNNNNNNNNNNNNNNNNNNNNNNNNNNACACAUUUGUUAAUGGUUAUGAAAUGUUUAUCAUGCAUGUUAUUAAACGUUUAAUUCAAGGUUUUUAAAGGUAUACUUAGGAUGGUUAUAAACUUUCCUACUGAGUUGUGAACUCACCCUAUUCCUUCCACCUAUAGAUGCAGGUCAGAAGACCUAUGCAGGAAAGAAUGCUUGAGCAAUGCUUUACUGUGAUUGGAUGUUGUUUGCUCAUAUUGAAAGUCUUUUGAGGCCAUGCCUUUUGUAUAAAGACUACACCUUUUGUUGGAAUGAUGUAAUGUAUAUAUUUGUUAGAUACACUUGUAGUAUGGGCUACCCAUAGUAAACAAUGGGGUUUGGUAUAUGUAAAUUAAUGUUGUACAAGUUUCUUUUGUGAAACAAAACAUAUUUUGUUAACUCAAUAGUCACAAUGUU
This 15643-nucleotide long non-coding RNA is filed under the name Vitis vinifera (wine grape). Its description in RNAcentral is "long non-coding RNA (VVIN_LNC007181)". Lineage: Eukaryota; Viridiplantae; Streptophyta; Magnoliopsida; Vitales; Vitaceae. The record is from RNAcentral.